GUGCCUGCUUCGGCUGUACAUAUAAUGAAAUUGGGACGACACAGAGGAGAUGAGCGUGGCCCCUGGCGCGAGGAUGAUACGCACAAUCGUGAAGCGUUCCACUUUUAA
Molecule: small nuclear RNA, 108 nt
Filed under: Pollicipes pollicipes
Lineage: Eukaryota; Metazoa; Arthropoda; Thecostraca; Pollicipedomorpha; Pollicipedidae
Source: RNAcentral